This is a long non-coding RNA of Drosophila ananassae, 1213 nucleotides long. RefSeq lists it as uncharacterized. The transcript is spliced from 2 exons. NCBI's taxonomy places the organism in Eukaryota, Metazoa, Arthropoda, Insecta, Diptera, Drosophilidae. The record is from RefSeq and is a predicted model, not a curated record.
UCGACUGCAUGUCGGGAAUUUAAUUUUUUCUGGCAUUUACAAAACACUUCAACCCGUUUUGACAAGAGCCGGCGAUGACAGCAAUUACCAUACGAUUUGCAUGACGUUUAUGUUUAUUUUCGCAUUGUACUCGCCUCCUCCCCGGUUCCAGGGCUUCAGUGGUGAAUGCCUUUCAGCCUCUCCAGGCUUUGUGUUCUUUAUGGCCUAAAAGAAAUGAAAAGCUGCCUGACUCACUCAGUUGGUCGCAAUUUCGUUGGAUUCGCAUUUCAUUAGCUUGUUAUGGACCACCUACGGCCGCUCUGGCCGCUGACAGAGCUCCCCCGUCCCCAUGUCUGCCCUGGGCCAGUUGGCCAAAUGGCAGAGACCCACAGCGAAGCAAUUAAGCCGACUGGCAUCGAAAACAAUCCCAACCAAUGGGGCAAUUUAAGGUAUUUACAAAAGCGUAAAAAGGUAAAGAAAACAUGUCGGGGCUCCUCCCAAUCAAAACAAGACGAGAACCACUCGAGGAGGCCCUCUCUGAAAUGUCAAUCGUUCGGUUUAAAGUUAAGGCCAUUUGCAAAAGGCCAAAAGAAAAUACAAAUAAAUUCGCAAGCUCUUCAAGGCAACACAUAACUAAAAGGGUGGUUUUAUGCGCAGAAAUGAUAUAAAGCAGUCUCUUUAUUCUAAAAUUACAAACUAAUACAGGGGAUGAGUGGUCGACACUAAGUCUCUUCGAAAUGUUCAGAGCAGUCGUAACCUUUUUUUUAUGUUUUUUGAUUACAUUUUAUAUAAGAAUAUAAAAAUGUAGGUUUUAGUUUUAAGUGCCAUUACAAACUAAUAUAAAGGGAUAAUUAUAAAUGGUCGACACUUCUCUGAUCAGAGCAGUCGUAACUUGUGUUUUUGGGUUUACAUUUUUUGUGUUUGGGUUUCAAGUGUGUAGUUUUAAGAGCAAUUAAAAACUAAUAUAAUGGUGUAGUGGUCGACACUUCUCAAGCAAAUGUUCAGAGCAGUCGCAACUCGUAACUUAUUUCUAGAAUUGUGUUUUUUUUAUAACAAGGGAAUCGACCGAUUCCAGAGUUAGAAAAUCAAUUACGAACUAAUGUGAAAGGAUAGAGAUAUUUGGACUGCUCAUCGAGUAUUUUAGAGCAGUCUCUUGGUUUGAAGUUUAAGCGUUAGACCCUCCUAGUGGAUUAAGAUUUCCACUGAUAUAGCUAAAAACUAACUAAAACUAGCU